Molecule: signal recognition particle RNA, 88 nt
Filed under: Deltaproteobacteria bacterium
Lineage: Bacteria; Pseudomonadati; Myxococcota; Myxococcia
Description: signal recognition particle sRNA small type
Rfam family: Bacterial small signal recognition particle RNA
About the family: The signal recognition particle (SRP) is a universally conserved ribonucleoprotein involved in the co-translational targeting of proteins to membranes. Archaeal SRP consists of a 7S RNA and homologues of the eukaryotic SRP19 and SRP54 proteins.
Source: RNAcentral
UGCUGGCCCCUGUAACGGUCACGUGCUAACCCCGUCAGAUCCGGAAGGAAGCAGCGGUCCGCUUAGUGCCCGUGGCAGGCCAAUCCGG